ACGCUUGAAGUCAGUCGCGUCAUCCAGGGAUCAACCUUGCUUUUGCUUGGUGCACUUUCUGGUUUGAUGGGUCAGCAUCAAUUUCGACUAUUGGAAAAAGGCUAAGGGAAUGUGGCAUCUUUGGAUGUGUUAUAGCCCUUGGUCGCAUACAAUGGUUGGGAUUGAGGAACUCAGCACGCCGCAAGGCCGGGUUUUAUACCACGUACGUGCUUAGGAUGCUGGCAAUAUGGCUUUAAUCGACCCGUCUUGAAACACGGACCAAGGAGUC
Molecule: ribosomal RNA, 268 nt
Filed under: uncultured Cortinarius
Lineage: Eukaryota; Fungi; Basidiomycota; Agaricomycetes; Agaricales; Cortinariaceae
Description: partial large subunit ribosomal RNA
Source: RNAcentral